Molecule: ribosomal RNA, 344 nt
Filed under: uncultured Rhodocyclaceae bacterium
Lineage: Bacteria; Pseudomonadati; Pseudomonadota; Betaproteobacteria; Rhodocyclales; Rhodocyclaceae
Description: bacterial SSU rRNA
Rfam family: Bacterial small subunit ribosomal RNA
Source: RNAcentral
AGGUGCUGCAUGGCUGUCGUCAGCUCGUGUCGUGAGAUGUUGGGUUAAGUCCCGCAACGAGCGCAACCUUGCAUUAGUUGCCAUCAUUUGGGUUGGGCACUCUAAUGAGACUGCCGGUGACAACCGGAGGAAGGUGGGAUGACGUCAAGUCCUCAUCGGCCCUUAUGGGUAGGGCUUCACACGUCAUACAAUGGUCGGUACAGGAGGGUUGCCAACCCGCGAGGGGGAGCUAAUCCCACAAAGCCGAUCGUAGUCCGGAUCGCAGUCUGCAACUCGACUGCGUGAAGUCGGAAUCGCUAGUAAUCGUGGAUCAGCAUGUCACGGUGAAUAUGUCCCUGCUCCUU